GACGAACGCUGGCGGCGUGCUUAACACAUGCAAGUCGAACGGAAAGGCCCUGCUUUUGUGGGGUGCUCGAGUGGCGAACGGGUGAGUAACACGUGAGUAACCUACCCUUGACUUUGGGAUAACUUCAGGAAACUGGGGCUAAUACCGGAUAGGAGCCCCUGCUGCAUGGUGGGGGUUGGAAAGUUUCGGCGGUUGGGGAUGGACUCGCGGCUUAUCAGCUUGUUGGUGGGGUAGUGGCUUACCAAGGCUUUGACGGGUAGCCGGCCUGAGAGGGUGACCGGCCACAUUGGGACUGAGAUACGGCCCAGACUCCUACGGGAGGCAGCAGUGGGGAAUAUUGCACAAUGGGCGGAAGCCUGAUGCAGCAACGCCGCGUGCGGGAUGACGGCCUUCGGGUUGUAAACCGCUUUCGCCUGUGAUGAAGCGUGAGUGACGGUAAUGGGUAAAGAAGCACCGGCUAACUACGUG
RNAcentral lists this ribosomal RNA (468 nucleotides) under uncultured bacterium. RNAcentral's name for it is "partial 16S ribosomal RNA". It matches the Rfam family "Bacterial small subunit ribosomal RNA", at positions 28 to 507 of the family's 1533-position model. The record is from RNAcentral.